UCAAUCGUCUCACUCAGAUAUGGGGGAAAGAAAGAGGAAAUGGAACGAGGGAGGAAACUAUGGAUACGAGAAGAAGCCGUGGACGGGCAACCAGGGACAAGACUAUAAUCAACAGCAGCAAGUUCCACAAAGGCGACCGUGCCCGAGGUGCCACAAGGUUUAUCUGGGAGAAGUUAAUUGCAAAAUAAAAAGAUACAAAUAUAGAAGAAAAAAAUAUAUAAAGAAAACAAAACAAAUAAUAAAGAAAAUAGGAAAUGAAAACAAAAAUGAAAAGAAAAACGUAAAAAAGAAAAAAAAAUAGCAUAUUAAAAAAACAGAAAAAGAAAAAAAAAAGAAAACAGGAAAUAAAAACAAAAAAAAUGGCAAAAAUGAGACUCAAACUCCUAAUUUCGGGGACAAACUAGUUUAAGGCGCACAACCAACCAUUGCACCACAACCUUUAAUUUGCUUUUAUUUGUCAUGAUAAUAAUUUAACCUAUUCUAUUUGGGUCGGGUCAAGACGGAGCUGACCCGACCUCAUCCUAUGAGGACGCAUGCACGG
This 541-nucleotide long non-coding RNA is filed under the name Salvia miltiorrhiza (redroot sage). RNAcentral describes it as "long non-coding RNA (SMIL_LNC013080)". The record is from RNAcentral. Lineage: Eukaryota; Viridiplantae; Streptophyta; Magnoliopsida; Lamiales; Lamiaceae.